Molecule: long non-coding RNA, 1232 nt
Organism: Bos taurus (domestic cattle)
Lineage: Eukaryota; Metazoa; Chordata; Mammalia; Artiodactyla; Bovidae
Source: Ensembl
GAGCGGGGCCUCCUCCAAUCAGCUGCAGGCCUGAGUAGAACAAAAGACAACCCCCACCCCCAGUGAAAGAGAAUACCUCUCACCUGAAGUCUUCAAACUGGAACAUGAGCUCCUCUUGGUUCUACGUAGCUUCCAGCCUUUGGACCUGACCUAGGACAGUGGGUCUGCAAAUUUUGGGCUUGACAGCCUCCAGCUGGUGGAAAGAGGUACAGGCCCUGGGAGCAGGACAAGAGUGCCUGACCAGUGAGGGUCAGGGCGAAGCAGGGAGGAGGUCAGCCUGUGGUCCCCGAGAGGGUCCAGGCUGGAUACUGAUCCUUGUCGCUGUUGACCAAAGCAGAGGGCAGGCUGUGUGCCACGUGGCAGGGGGAUCCCCAGGGGUGCAGCGGGCAGCAGAACCAAGUGUCUCAAAGGGAAUCCAGGCAGAAAGUGACGGGGACUGAGCCAAGUCUGGCUGUUGUAAGGUCAGAGAGAGGAGGGGAGACUCAGACAAGAUCCUGUAACCAACCAGGUGUGGGAGGUAAUGUGUGGGUGAGACAUUUUCCACGGGCAUCCUCAGCAUCAGAGAGAAGACCCAAAGCAGGUGUGGCCAGGCAAGAAGCUGGCUGUUCACACCUGCGUGAGGCUGGUCCCCAGGACACAGGCUGGAACCAGAGGCAGCAGAGCAAGCCGAGUAUUAAUAACAUGGUUGGAGACGGCGGCCUCAAUCUUAUCUGAGCUCGAGAGGAGUCUGGCUCGUUAUCCUGUCUGCCGCCCUCAACUUAUCUGAGGAACCACACAGUGCGGAUUCAUCCUUCAGCCCCAGCGACCCUUCCCUCCUUGGAAACCUGAGAGUCUUCGCUUCAAACACGGCCCUCCGGGCCAGGCAUCCGAUGGGCCUGGCUCCCCUCUGAUCUCCCGGAGCCUGGGAGCCGGGGGUCCUGGCAGCUGGAGUAAUUCUAUGCCUGCAAUCUGGCUUCUUUUCUUUUCCUGGACAAGAUUUAUAAGGCAGGGUAUAGUCUUACCGCAGUCAUUCCCAGGAGAGGCCCUGAACCCCUGAGUCUCCACAGCCCCUUUCAGCUCCUUGCAAGUUCACGUUAAGAUGGGCUUUUAGAUAAAGUGAGGUUGAUACUUAGGGCAAACCAAAUUUGCAUGUGAUUGAGAAACUGCCUUCCACAACUCGAAGGAUGGUGUCAUAGCCCUCUGGAGGGAGGGGAGUAGGGAGAGGGGAGCUGUGUCUACCCGCCAGGCUGUGU